UCUAAUUGCUCCUGUAAGUUGCUCUGGAUAAGAGUAUCUGCUAAAUGACAAAAA
This is a non-coding RNA of Salmo salar (Atlantic salmon), 54 nucleotides long. Lineage: Eukaryota; Metazoa; Chordata; Actinopteri; Salmoniformes; Salmonidae. The record is from Rfam.